GACCAGGAGUGUGGACACUCUAAGGUCAUCUUGUUCAACAAUCUCUUUUGGAUCCCUACCUCACACAUGCUACCUACCCUCAAGUAAUCCAUCAAGAGCAAAGAAGUUUGGCUCAUCUUCCUGCGUUUUCUGAAACCUCUUAAGUGGGAAAAGAAUAAUGUGGCAACUACAGAUGGAGUGAGUUGAAGUUUUGAAUGUUCAGAGAUGGAAGAGGCCAUCCAUCCUGAUCUGCUUUUGCAGGUCCAACUGUAGACACUGAAC
This is a long non-coding RNA of Meriones unguiculatus (Mongolian gerbil), 261 nucleotides long. RefSeq lists it as uncharacterized. The transcript is spliced from 3 exons. Lineage: Eukaryota; Metazoa; Chordata; Mammalia; Rodentia; Muridae. The record is from RefSeq and is a predicted model, not a curated record.